AUUGAACGCUGGCGGCAGGCCUAACACAUGCCGUCGAGCGGAUGAAGGGAGCUUGCUCCUGGAUUCAGCGGCGGACGGGUGAGUAAUGCCUAGGAAUCUGCCUGGUAGUGGGGGAUAACGUCCGGAAACGGGCGCUAAUACCGCAUACGUCCUGAGGGAGAAAGUGGGGGAUCUUCGGACCUCACGCUAUCAGAUGAGCCUAGGUCGGAUUAGCUAGUUGGUGGGGUAAAGGCCUACCAAGGCGACGAUCCGUAACUGGUCUGAGAGGAUGAUCAGUCACACUGGAACUGGGACACGGUCCAGGCUCCUACGGGAGGCAGCAGUGGGGAAUAUUGGACAAUGGGCGAAAGCCUGAUCCAGCCAUGCCGCGUGUGUGAAGAAGGUCUUCGGAUUGUAAAGCACUUUAAGUUGGGAGGAAGGGCAGUAAGUUAAUACCUUGCUGUUUUGACGUUACCAACAGAAUAAGCACCGGCUAACUUCGUG
RNAcentral lists this ribosomal RNA (483 nucleotides) under uncultured bacterium. RNAcentral describes it as "partial 16S ribosomal RNA". It matches the Rfam family "Bacterial small subunit ribosomal RNA", at positions 30 to 507 of the family's 1533-position model. The record is from RNAcentral.